CUGCAGAGCAGCGUAUAGUGAGCGUGCCAGAUCCCUGCCAGCAGCAGCAGCAGCAUAUAUCACACUGACAGCGUGCAGGAUGUCCUAUGAAGCUCUCUGUAGCAGCACAGCCCACAUCCCAGGCAGCAGUCUCCUAUCCUACAGACGUAAACCAUGUUACCACGGUAACGGACGGGGGGAGGUGACGUCAUUUGUGGGCGUCAGACUUCCUGGUUCCGGACGCCGCGGCUAGCGUUACACAUGGUGGGGAUAUAAGGGUGUAGCAAGUACUGCAGCUUCCAGCACCCAGCAUGUACUCUUACAUUUUACAGCUCCAAGCAAGUACCCCUAAAGUUAUCAGCAUGCAACAUGUUUAUACUCCAUCAGUUAUGUGACCUUUGUUUUACAGAAACAAAUCGCUUUGGAACCACAAACCCUAUGUUAUCCAUUCUAUAAUCUGAAAUAUGUAUUACAUUAAACCCAAGCAAUAUUAAUUUCUUGUAUUAAAGUGAAAGAUAAUUAUUCCUU
Molecule: long non-coding RNA, 507 nt
Organism: Pseudophryne corroboree (corroboree frog)
Lineage: Eukaryota; Metazoa; Chordata; Amphibia; Anura; Myobatrachidae
Exons: 3
Source: RefSeq, a predicted model, not a curated record